AGCAGCCGCGGUAAUUCCAGCUCCAAUAGCGUAUAUUAAAGUUGUUGCAGUUAAAAAGCUCGUAGUUGAAUUUCGGGAUCAAUUCGUCGGUCGUGCUUUUUGGUACGUACUGGUGUUAUUGGUUUCUCCCUUCUGACAAGCCAUGAUGUCAUUAAUUUGGUGUUAUGGGGAGUUAGGACUGUUACUUUGAAAAAAUUAGAGUGUUUAAAGCAGGCAUUAGCUUGAAUACAUUAGCAUGGAAUAAUGAAAUAGGACGUUCGAACCUAUUUUGUUGGUUUCUAGGAUCAACGUAAUGAUUAAUAGGGAUAGUUGGGGGCAUUAGUAUUCAAUUGUCAGAGGUGAAAUUCUUGGAUUUAUUGAAGACUAACUACUGCGAAAGCAUUUGCCAAGGAUGUUUUCAUUAAUCAAGAACGAAAGUUAGGGGAUCGAAGACGAUCAGAUACCGUCGUAGUCUUAACCAUAAACUAUGCCGACUAGGGAUCGGAUGAUGUUAAUUUUUUAAUGUACUCAUUCGGCGCCU
Molecule: ribosomal RNA, 520 nt
Filed under: uncultured Glomeromycotina
Lineage: Eukaryota; Fungi; Glomeromycota
Description: SSU rRNA
Rfam family: Eukaryotic small subunit ribosomal RNA
Source: RNAcentral